UUCAUAUAGCCGAUCCCACUCAGUGACUUGGAUUUUCCAAGUCUCCAACCAAGAAGUUUUCCUCACUCGGGAACUUAAGGGAACACUACCCCAACCUACAUGCUCCACUCAGAAAGCUUCAACAUACAAGCUUCAACAAAAGAAAAUUUAAAGAACUUAGCGAAGAAGGCUUUGGUGUAUUUAACACAAUACGUUGAAAUGAAGGAAAGCUUAUUUA
Molecule: long non-coding RNA, 217 nt
Filed under: Malus domestica (apple)
Lineage: Eukaryota; Viridiplantae; Streptophyta; Magnoliopsida; Rosales; Rosaceae
Description: long non-coding RNA (MDOM_LNC011808)
Source: RNAcentral